This 337-nucleotide unclassified non-coding RNA is filed under the name soil metagenome. RNAcentral describes it as "partial contains 5.8S ribosomal RNA, internal transcribed spacer 2, and large subunit ribosomal RNA". The stretch from base 2 to 121 matches the Rfam family "5.8S ribosomal RNA", at positions 35 to 154 of the family's 154-position model. The record is from RNAcentral.
GGAUGAAGAACGUAGCGAAAUGCGAUAAGUAAUGUGAAUUGCAGAAUUCAGUGAAUCAUCGAAUCUUUGAACGCACAUUGCGCCCGCCAGUAUUCUGGCGGGCAUGCCUGUUCGAGCGUCAUUUCAACCAUCAAGCCCCCGGCUUGUGUUGGGGACCUGCGGCUGCCGCAGGCCCUGAAAAGCAGUGGCGGGCUCGCUGUCACACCGAGCGUAGUAGAUUUCAUCUCGCUCAGGGCGUGCUGCGGGUUCCGGCCGUUAAACCACCUUCAUAACCCAAGGUUGACCUCGGAUCAGGUAGGAAGACCCGCUGAACUUAAGCAUAUCAAUAAGCGGAGGA